UACGAAGGGGGCUAGCGUUGCUCGGAAUCACUGGGCGUAAAGCGCACGUAGGCGGCUUUUUAAGUCAGGGGUGAAAUCCUAGAGCUCAACUCCAGAACUGCCUUUGAUACUGAGAAGCUUGAGUCCGGGAGAGGUGAGUGGAACUGCGAGUGUAGAGGUGAAAUUCGUAGAUAUUCGCAAGAACACCAGUGGCGAAGGCGGCUCACUGGCCCGGUACUGACGCUGAGGUGCGAAAGCGUGGGGAGCAAACAGG
Molecule: ribosomal RNA, 253 nt
Filed under: uncultured bacterium
Lineage: Bacteria
Description: partial 16S ribosomal RNA
Rfam family: Bacterial small subunit ribosomal RNA
Source: RNAcentral